RNAcentral lists this ribosomal RNA (1451 nucleotides) under uncultured Bordetella sp. RNAcentral describes it as "partial 16S-23S ribosomal RNA intergenic spacer". It matches the Rfam family "Bacterial small subunit ribosomal RNA". Lineage: Bacteria; Pseudomonadati; Pseudomonadota; Betaproteobacteria; Burkholderiales; Alcaligenaceae. The record is from RNAcentral.
GGUUUGAUUAUGGCUCAGAUUGAACGCUGGCGGGAUGUGCUAUGCAAGUCGAACGGCGGCACAGGACUUCGGUCUGGUGGCGAGAGUGGCGAACGGGUGAGUAAUGUAUCGGAGACGUGCCUAGUGGCGAAGGUGCUUACGCGGCAGCUAAUACCGCAUACGCCCUUCAGGGGAAAGCGGGGGACCUUCGGGCCUCGCACUAAUGAAACGGCCGAUAUCGGAUUGCGCAUCAGCUAGUUGGUGGGGUAACGGCUCACUGCAAGGCGACGAUCCGUAGCUGGUUUGAAGACGACCAACCACACUGGGACUGAGACACGGCCCGAACUCCUACGGGAGGCAGCAGUGGGGAAUUUUGGACAAUGGGAAACCCUGAUCCAGCCAUCCCGCGUGUGCGAUGAAGGCCUUCGGGUUGUAAACUUUGCACAGCGGAAAAACGGCACGGGAUAAUACGUGCAACUGACAGUACCUGCAGAAUAAGCACCAUUCGCUACGAUACCGCCAGCAGCCGCGUGGCGUAGGUGCAAGCGUUAAUCGGAAUUACCCAGGGCGUAAAGCCCGUGCGCAGGCGGUUCGGAAGAAAGAUGUGAAAUCCCGGAAACGCUUUCGAACACCGCAUUUUUGCUACCAGAGCAGGUGUAUCAGGGAGGUGGAAUUCCGCGUGUAGCGGUGAAAUAAGCCAGGUAUGGAAGACACCGAUGGCGGCUACAACCUCCUGGGAUAACACUGACGCUCAUGCGAAAGCGUGGGGAGCAAACCAAGUUAGAUACCCUGUUGGUCCCGCCUAAACGAUAAUAAUAGCUGUUGGGGCCUUCAGACGCCGGCGCUUCCUUCUUGCGUGGUGUGCUGGGAAGUACGGUCGCAAGAUUAAACUCGGAAUUGACGGACCCGCACAAGCGGUGGAUGAUGUGGAUUAAUUCGAUGCAACGCGAAAACCUUACCUACCCUUGACAUGUCUGGAAUCCCGAAGAUUUGGGAGUGCUCGCAAGAGAACCGGAACACAGGUGCUGUGGCUGUCGUCAGCUCGUGUCGUGAGAUGUUGGGUUAAGUCCCACAACGAGCGCAACCGCUAUCUUCAGGUUGCUACGAAAGGGCACUCCUGACGGACUACCGGUGACAAACCAGGAGGAAGGUGGGGGCUGGCGCAUCCGUCUCAUGGCCCAUAUGGAGUGCGGGACUACACGUCAUGCUGUCAUGGUCGGGACAGAGGGUCGCCAACCCGCGAGGAGCCAAUCCCAGAAACCCGAUCGUAGUCCGGAUCGCAGUCUGCAACUCGGCUGUGAAGUCGGAAUCUUGUGCGGAUCAACAUGUUGCGGUGAAUACGUUCCCGGGUCUUGUACCGUAAUCACCAUGGGGUGGUUUUUGCAGGAAAUGGUCAGCCUAACUGCCGUAAGGGCGAUUACGUGGAUUCAUGUUGGGUGAAGUCGCCAACAAAGGUAGCUGUUGAUGCUCAG